This 643-nucleotide ribosomal RNA is filed under the name uncultured Actinomycetes bacterium. RNAcentral's name for it is "bacterial SSU rRNA". It matches the Rfam family "Bacterial small subunit ribosomal RNA", at positions 232 to 885 of the family's 1533-position model. The record is from RNAcentral. Lineage: Bacteria; Bacillati; Actinomycetota; Actinomycetes.
CGCGGCCUAUCAGCUUGUUGGUGAGGUAACGGCUCACCAAGGCGACGACGGGUAGCCGGCCUGAGAGGGCGACCGGCCACACUGGGACUGAGACACGGCCCAGACUCCUACGGGAGGCAGCAGUGGGGAAUAUUGCACAAUGGGCGGAAGCCUGAUGCAGCGACGCCGCGUGAGGGAUGACGGCCUUCGGGUUGUAAACCUCUUUCAGCAGGGAAGAAGCGCAAGUGACGGUACCUGCAGAAGAAGCGCCGGCUAACUACGUGCCAGCAGCCGCGGUAAUACGUAGGGCGCAAGCGUUGUCCGGAAUUAUUGGGCGUAAAGAGCUCGUAGGCGGCUUGUCGCGUCGGAUGCGAAAGCCCGGGGCUUAACCCCGGGUCUGCAUUCGAUACGGGCAGGCUAGAGUUCGGUAGGGGAGAUCGGAAUUCCUGGUGUAGCGGUGAAAUGCGCAGAUAUCAGGAGGAACACCGGUGGCGAAGGCGGAUCUCUGGGCCGAUACUGACGCUGAGGAGCGAAAGCGUGGGGAGCGAACAGGAUUAGAUACCCUGGUAGUCCACGCCGUAAACGGUGGGAACUAGGUGUUGGCGACAUUCCACGUCGUCGGUGCCGCAGCUAACGCAUUAAGUUCCCCGCCUGGGGAGUACGG